Molecule: long non-coding RNA, 292 nt
Organism: Pezoporus occidentalis (night parrot)
Lineage: Eukaryota; Metazoa; Chordata; Aves; Psittaciformes; Psittacidae
Exons: 3
Source: RefSeq, a predicted model, not a curated record
AGACUUAUGAAGAGGGGACACCUGGAUGUGCCUGGAAAUUACUACUUUCUUUGAGGAGUCAACCAGCUAAUUUAUGAAGCAUGCUGUAAAAGUACCACCCCCGUGAUUAAGGAAAAGAUCUUGAGUCACCUUCCAAAAGACGUAGAUUUCCGGCAAACCUGUAGGCCAUCUGUCACUGUGGGCAGGCAAGAAGAAACUGGGAAAUUGUAAAAAGCAGCAAGCCUGUAGUGAACUGAUUCCUGGAAAGGAGACCAUUCCUCAAAGUCACUUUAUGAGUAUACAUGUUCCAUCU